GCCUAACGGCUGAACUGGCAACUUGGAGAAGUGGCAAGUUUUAUAAUUAAUAGUAAUUUAUAUUUCUAUUUUUAUAAAAUUCUAUUAGAAUUGAAUGAAGCUUUGUUUAUAUAUUGAUAAUGACAGUAUAUAUAUCGUGUCUUGACCAAUUACGUGCCAGCAGUCGCGGUAAUACGUAAGAGACUAGUGUUAUUCAUCUUAAUUAGGUUUAAAGGGUACCCAGACGGUCAAUAUAGCUUCUAUAAUGUUAGUACUUGACUAGAGUUUUAUGUAAGAGGGCAGUACUUGAGGAGGAGAGAUGAAAUUCCGUGAUACCAAAGGGACUCGGUAAAUGCGAAGGCAGCCCUCUAGGUAAAAACUGACGUUGAAGGACGAAGGCACAGAGAACAAACAGGAUUAGAUACCCUAAUAGUCUUUGCAGUAAAUGAUGAAUGCCAUAGGUUAGAUAAUCUAAUUAUUUGGUCUAUAAAUGAAAGUGUAAGCAUUUCACCUCAAGAGUAAUGUGGCAACGCAGGAACUGAAAUCACUAGACCGUUUCUGACACCAGUAGUGAAGU
This 556-nucleotide ribosomal RNA is filed under the name Rugonectria rugulosa. RNAcentral describes it as "SSU rRNA". It matches the Rfam family "Bacterial small subunit ribosomal RNA", at positions 374 to 938 of the family's 1533-position model. Lineage: Eukaryota; Fungi; Ascomycota; Sordariomycetes; Hypocreales; Nectriaceae. The record is from RNAcentral.